UCUUCAAUACCAGCUUUGCUAUGAGGAAACUAUCCAAUAACGAGGGAAGAGCGGAUAUAUCUUGCUCUGAUCAGACAACUCCACUGGGGAAAGACUGAUGACGACUGAAUUGGGGGUAACUUAUAGGCGAUCAUGUUGGAGAUAAUUUGCUGGCGAACCAACUGGGGAAGUCUUAAUGUGAUCAACCCUACUAAGGCUGAG
RNAcentral lists this long non-coding RNA (201 nucleotides) under Lathyrus oleraceus (garden pea). Its description in RNAcentral is "Pisum sativum (pea) long non-coding RNA (PSAT_LNC023628)". Lineage: Eukaryota; Viridiplantae; Streptophyta; Magnoliopsida; Fabales; Fabaceae. The record is from RNAcentral.